UGACCUGGCGGCAGCCUACACAUGCNAGUCGGGCGGUAGUACAGAGAGCUUGCUCUUGGGUGACGAGUGGCGGACGGGUGAGUAAUGUCUGGGGAUCUGCCCGAUAGAGGGGGAUAACCACUGGAAACGGUGGCUAAUACCGCAUAACGUCGCAAGACCAAAGAGGGGGACCUUCGGGCCUCUCACCAUCGGAUGAACCCAGAUGGGAUUAGCUAGUAGGCGGGGUAAUGGCCCACCUAGGCGACGAUCCCUAGCUGGUCUGAGAGGAUGACCAGCCACACUGGAACUGAGACACGGUCCAGACUCCUACGGGAGGCAGCAGUGGGGAAUAUUGCACAAUGGGCGCAAGCCUGAUGCAGCCAUGCCGCGUGUAUGAAGAAGGCCUUCGGGUUGUAAAGUACUUUCAGCGGGGAGGAAGGCGAUGCGGUUAAUAACCGCGUCGAUUGACGUUACCCGCAGAAGAAGCACCGGCUAACUCCGUGCCAGCAGCCGCGGUAAU
Molecule: ribosomal RNA, 499 nt
Filed under: uncultured bacterium
Lineage: Bacteria
Description: bacterial SSU rRNA
Rfam family: Bacterial small subunit ribosomal RNA
Source: RNAcentral